CCCCGGUAAACGGCGGCCGUAACUAUAACGGUCCUAAGGUAGCGAAAUUCCUUGUCGGGUAAGUUCCGACCUGCACGAAUGGCGUAAUGAUGGCCAGGCUGUCUCCACCCGAGACUCAGUGAAAUUGAACUCGCUGUGAAGAUGCAGUGUACCCGCGGCAAGACGGAAAGACCCCGUGAACCUUUACUAUAGCUUGACACUGAACAUUGAGCCUUGAUGUGUAGGAUAGGUGGGAGGCUUUGAAGUGUGGACGCCAGUCUGCAUGGAGCCGACCUUGAAAUACCACCCUUUAAUGUUUGAUGUUCUAACGUGGACCCGUAAUCCGGGUUGCGGACAGUGUCUGGUGGGUAGUUUGACUGGGGCGGUCUCCUCCUAAAGAGUAACGGAGGAGCACGAAGGUUGGCUAAUCCUGGUCGGACAUCAGGAGGUUAGUGCAAUGGCAUAAGCCAGCUUGACUGCGAGCGUGACGGCGCGAGCAGGUGCGAAAGCAGGUCAUAGUGAUCCGGUGGUUCUGAAUGGAAGGGCCAUCGCUCAACGGAUAAAAGGUACUCCGGGGAUAACAGGCUGAUACCGCCCAAGAGUUCAUAUCGACGGCGGUGUUUGGCACCUCGAUGUCGGCUCAUCACAUCCUGGGGCUGAAGUAGGUCC
Molecule: ribosomal RNA, 648 nt
Filed under: Salmonella enterica
Lineage: Bacteria; Pseudomonadati; Pseudomonadota; Gammaproteobacteria; Enterobacterales; Enterobacteriaceae
Also listed under: 1 other name
Description: partial 23S ribosomal RNA
Rfam family: Bacterial large subunit ribosomal RNA
Source: RNAcentral